ACCAUUCUUCCUAUUCCCUUUCAUCAUUCUCAGUGCCUAUUUUGAGACUCAAGUCAACAAUCGCUAUUGUUGGUUCAUUCUCUGGACUUAGCCAUUUAUUCCCAUCCACCAUCCUUUCUUUUCACCCAUUCAGCCAACUACUUUAUUUAUCAAAUCCCUUAGCCUAAUUUCAUCUGCCAUUCUUCUAAGCCAUUUUAAAACUUCUUGUUUAAGCCUACUUUCUAUCCAUUUUUAGCCUUCUU
RNAcentral lists this long non-coding RNA (242 nucleotides) under Gossypium barbadense (sea-island cotton). RNAcentral's name for it is "long non-coding RNA (GBAR_LNC022858)". Lineage: Eukaryota; Viridiplantae; Streptophyta; Magnoliopsida; Malvales; Malvaceae. The record is from RNAcentral.